Long non-coding RNA from Rattus norvegicus (Norway rat), 2612 nucleotides. RefSeq lists it as uncharacterized. NCBI's taxonomy places the organism in Eukaryota, Metazoa, Chordata, Mammalia, Rodentia, Muridae. The record is from RefSeq and is a predicted model, not a curated record.
GAGAGCUGGCUUCUGCCGGCUGCAGCUGUGCACUUUGCUGAAGUUCUAAUACAAUCUCCAUAUGCUUCCCACCGCCUCACAUAGGUGAUCUGGCCUUUCAGUUCAAUGAAACGCGCAGCAGAACCCUUUUCAGGAUUGAGGAUCAAAUCCACACGUUACUUCCUUUACUACUGAGCUACAUAUCAGCCUGUGCCACUCAUGUAAAAUUGAUAAGGGAACAGUAAGAAAACCAAUAGGAUUUAACCCUUGUAUCCAAAAGUCAAAAAAGUGUUCAUUUCUUGCUUAAAUGUCAAGAGAGUCACGUACUAAGGAGCUCCUUAAUACUGUGAAACGAAGUUGGGUUCACGGGACUGAUACAUUAGGGAUCAGGUAGGCCAUAUAGAUACUUCUCAGUCUCCCUCUGGAGUGUACUUACUAGUGGCUCAGCUUCAUAAGGAGGUUUAACCAGCCAGAGGUGAUAACUGGGACACAGCACAUGCUGUGUGAUUGUAAGCAUAGUAUUAGACAAAGCCAAUCUAUCCCAGAGUCAAGCAAAUAGAGAACAAAUAUAAACUAAAGGCCCAUGUAAAGCACUGCAAAUACAACAGGAUAUGAACACUAUUGAAGGAUAGCAAUAAAUAGAUAAACCAUCAAUUGCACAGAUGAAAAUAGGUGUUUUAAUAUGCAUGAAGACAUGUGUCUUAUUCAACAGGGAACUUUCGAGGUUGUGGUUUAAAAAGGAAAGACCAAAGCCUGGGCCAGUGAGAUGUCUCAGUUGGUAGAUGUACUGCCAUGAAGACCUGAGUUCAAUCCACAGAACCUAUGUAAUGUUGGAGGCGAAGGGCUGACUCUGUAGAGUUGAAUUGUAACAUACUCAGUGCGCUGCACUAUUCAAGUGUCCAAACAAAGCUCUCUCUGUCUCUCUGUCUCUGUCUCUGUCUCUGUCUCUGUCUGUCUCUCUCUGUCUCUCUCUCUCUCUGUCUCUGUCUCUCUGUCUCUCUGUCUCUCUCUCUCUCAUACACACACACACUCAACACACUAGGCUUAUACAGGUGCUCAAUAAUAAUAAUAAUACAUUUUCAAAGUAAAUACAAUAAAACAAGAUAAUUAGAUGACAACAUCAAAAUUUUAUUGCCCGGGGGUGAUGUUCUUUAAAGAUAUUAGAACAGAAAAACAUAAAAUAAAGAAAUAAAUAUGUGAAAAGAGGACAAAUAAGACGUACUUGCAUAAUUAAAGUGACUAAAAUCAAAUUAGAAUUACAAAACAUAAACAACAGCAAAGUAAAAGCAGACAAAAACUAAAGAUUUGACAGUGCCAUUUUUUACAGCCAUCUUUUAGAAGAGAUAUAAUAAUUAACAAAUGCUAUGAGAAUAUUCAUGUUAAUACAUUUUCACUAGCAUUGGUUUAAAUUAAAGACAGCAUCUUUAAGAAAAUGUAAAUCCUUAAGAAAAUGUACUUUCUGAAGAAGUACAAAACGUUAAGUGGAAAGGUAACUUGAUGUCAUAUAUGAAUAAGUUUUACUUCCCCUCUUGGUUACAUCUGUGAAAAGCGCAUGAUUUUUGUUAUGCGAUUUAGAGACUUAACACCUCGGUGCUUCUUAUAUACAUUUGUCAUGAGUAAUUUAUUCUGCAGGUUCUUCACAUGAAAUUUCUUCACACUUAAUUUUAUUUACUGUAGUGUGUGUGUGUGUGUGUGUGUGUGUGUGUGUGUGUGUUGCUUUUGCUUUAGAGACAGGGUGUCAUGCUGACCUUCAACAGAGUACCAAGUUGGCCUGGAACACACUAUGUAGCUGAGGAUAGUUUCGAACUUGUGAUUCUCCUGAUUCCAGCACCUCAAUUUUCCAGGUGCUAGGCUUUCAGGUGAACAUCAUCAUCUGAUUUGCAUAAUGUUGGAGAUGCAGCCAGGACUUCUAGCAUGCUGGUCAAGCAUUCUAUUAACUGCACUACAUCACUAGCAGAACUAUAGUUUUAAAAGAUAUGUGUGUGUGUAUGUAUGUAUAUAUGUAUAAAGUUUUAUUUAUUCAACUAUGUGUGGGUUUGUGAAUGCAGUGCUCUCAGUAGGCAGACGAGGACACUGGAUCACUUAGAUCUGAGUUAAAAUCAUUUGUGAGCUUCCCUAUCUGAGUGUUGGGAACCCACCUCAGGGCCUCUGCAGAGGCAGCAUGACCUCUUGACCACAGAGCCAUCUCUUCAGCCUCCUACUGCUUUCAUUAGAUGGAGCUUUUCCAGGUCCAGCUUCACUCCAUGGUUCCAUUAACUGUAUCUUGUAAGUGGCAUCAUUAUUACUUUUAAAACCCUCUAUAAUCAGUUUUAUUUUUGUCUCUGGUCCAACAAUUGUUGAUUUGUUUUAUUUUUAUCUUGACAUUUUAGUGCCAAGUGUUUGUGUGUUUUGGGUACAUUUAAUCCAUUCUCAAGAUUAUUACAAGUUAAAGAGCAUCAUGUACAUCUUCUGUACUUAGUGAAAUAGCUCAUGACAAUUGAAUGGGUAGCCUAUGGAAAAUUGCAGAUAAAGUGAUGUGCCAUUAUAUACUGAGAAAAGAUAUAAGCAGUUUUGAUUGCAGGAUAUAAGUUCUUCUCUGUCUUAUAAAUCAUCUUGAUUACGUACAUUAAAAAUAAACAGCCAUCUUUUAAAAA